GUUGAUGUUGAUGUUUGUCGCCGAUCGCCGAUAUCGAAUCGAAUUGGGCAUUUUGAAAUAAUACUGUCAUCUAGUGGCUUUUUGGGUGAUAUUAAAUAUAUUAUUCCUUGAUGAGUUUAUUUAUAAGUUAUUACUUAUUCAUGAAUUAAAUAUAGUUUGGUGUGUAACUGUGAAUAUCCCUUAAAUCUAAAUGAUUAUUUCAAAACUUAUGUAUGGAAUCAGUAGUCAAUUUACCUUACUACUUGUUUUUGAACCGUCAACUCAUGCAAUAUUUAAAGAAUUAAUAGAUUUAAAGCUACUGUAGUCGAUAAAAAUAUGAAAUAAUAUUCAUUAAUAAAAAAUAAAAGCCAUCUUUACUCAUGGAUUAAGUUAAAAUUUCUCACAAAAAGUGAAUCAACUCUUUGAACUCUGAAAGGGUGAAGUGGAACACAGCUUAUAAUCGAAGAACUGUGGCUAAAUAGCGUGCAUGAUGGCGGUUGAGGGCGGCGAGGCAACUAGCUGUGGCAUGGAGUCUGAGGGUGUCGAGGGCCAAGAGAAGGACACCGCAGACGGUACAACCCCCACCAGCACCAAUACCCCCACCACCACCACAAAUAGCACCACUUCCAAUAGCACAACCACCAACAAUGAAGAGGUGGUGUCCAAGACUUCGCUACUCAGUGAAAUUAGUACGGCAACUACGGACAGUUCUACUGGCACCACUACGGAAACCAGUGCUAGCACGACAACUGUGACUCCUACGACUAAUGGUACUAGUACAACAAGUGGUGCGAAUACUACGGCCAGUAUUACUGGCACAAAUACUACGGCCAGUAUUACUGGCACAGAUACUGCGACCAGUAUUACUGACAAAGAUAUUGCGACCAGUAUUACUGACACAAAUACUACGGCCAGUAUUACUGGUACGAAUACUACAUCCAGUAUUACUGGUACAGGUACUAGCACCUCUACGGCUAGUAGUUCUACCACAGUGACUGGACCCAAUACAGCCAUCGCUACUACUACGGUUACUGGCAACAAUACUACAGCCAGUGCUACUUGCACAAGUAGCACCACUACUACUAGUAGCACGGUGUCUGCUACUGCCACUAUCACUGGAACGGGGACAGCCGCAGACGGCGAACGAGAAGAGGAAGCCGAAGAAGAACAUGAAGAGGAUGGAGAAUUUGUUGAAGAGGACUUUGACGAAAGCAAACCAAAGCCCGGCUGCACGACUGGCCGCGUUGUCACGCUGCAAAUGCUGCUGGCUGCCGACAUCUUGCAACCCGGCGAGGGAACCAUGUCCAUCGAGUAUUUGGGUCAGCGAUUCAUGGGUGAUCUUCUUCCGGAUGGAAAAAUAAAAUCUCUUGAGACUGAUAUAGUGUUUGCGUCGCCCAGCGCCUGGGCGAUUCACUGCAAACGGAUAAUAAACCCCGAAAAGAAAUCUGGCUGUGGAUGGGCAUCAGUGAGGUAUAAAGGGACCAAAUUAGAAAUUUACAAGACUAGAUACUUCAAUAAAAAAAUCUCUGAUCAGAACAAAGAGAACGAAAACACUGAUGAAGAAGAAAUUGAAAUGAAAGCGCCAGCACCAUAUCUCUUGAAAGAGAUAAAAGACAUUCCUCCUCCUGCUCCCGUGCCUCGAAUUGUUGUCAAACAUAGUGUUCUUGGAAAUAGGUCGAGUUUACAUGAUGGCAAUUUAUUGGUGGAAAGCACUCCAUUUUCAACAAUUGGGAAAAUUCAACCGUUUCUUGUGUCAUUGGCAACGAAUGCCGCCCUUGUCAUGGACUUGCAUUGUCAUCUAACCACAUCGGAAGUGGUGGGUUAUCUAGCUGGCUACUGGGACGUCAAUGGACACAACCUAGCGAUCACACACGCGUUCCCGUGCCGCUGUCGGCUGGGAGACAAGGAGUCGGCGCCCAUGAUGGAGGCCGAGAUCUGCAAGGCACUGGAGCAGCGGCGACUCACUCUGGUCGGCUGGUACCACUCCCACCCGUACGCCCCCGCCACCCCCACCAUCCGCGACAUCGACUCCCAACUAGAGUACGAAAUCAAAAUGAAGGGCAACAACGAUGCCAGCUACACGCCUUGCGUUGGCUUCAUCUGCUCGCCUUACCACAAAGAAAACACGUCACUGGAGUCGGUGAUGACCUGCUAUUGGGUGAUUCCUCCUCCUGAGAACAAGCCUAAUGAGUAUGGCAAGCCAAUGAUGAUGUCCUACAGUGUCCUUCAAGACCAGUAUCUUUCAAAAGACGCUCUAACAGAAAUGAAAAAGUGUGCCGAAUUCUACAAAGUGGAUCAGGACUUUGUGAAUUUCUCUGAGAAAUUUAAAAAUGGCGUGUCAUUUUUAGAGAAACUGAAGACGACACUGAACUCGAAAAUGCCCCGAGACCAGGCAGACGGCAGUCUGUGGAACUACCUGAGCGAGCUGCUGUGUGCGGGCAGCACAGGAGUCUCCACACCGCCCAAGAUCACCACCCCUCCCCCGCACCCGCUCUCCCUCCCCUCCCACUCCUUCCUGGUGCCAUCCUCGCUGCCCAUCAACAUCCCCAGCACCAGCAAGAGUGCAGGGGGGUCCCUGCUGGGGGCCGAACUGGCCAAUGCCUUGUUUGGCAGUGGCAAGUUUCCGUCCCCUGCCUCAUUGAUGAGCUUGUCGUCGAUCUUCCCAGCACCGCAGCCGGUGUCAAAUCACAGUACGAAGAGUAUCCUCAAAUCGUCACCGUCUCCCGCCAAAAUCUCGAAGACUGAGGACAGUGGCACGUCAACCUCCGUAUCGUUCCCCAUCCACACCAACACAUCAAAACAUCACUCGCUGCAGGUCUCUUCCCAGCUCCAAUCCCAGCUGCACUCGCAUCUGCAGUCUCAACUGCAGUCACAGUUGCAUUCCCAGCUGAAGUCGCAGCUGCACUCUGUGGCGCACAUGCAGAAUCAAACACAAACCUCCACGUCACAGACUGUGCCCACAUUACCCUCCUACAUGAGCAGUUUGGACAAGAAUUGUACAGUAACUAGCAAACAGUCCAGCUGAACUUGUGGAGGCGGCAGUGCGGAAUCAAUGGUAAACAUUGCAUUGACGAACAAAUCCAUUACUGCAUUGAUAUCACAUUGAUACAAUGUACUUAUUAUAAUGUAAUGCUAUUACAUUACUAUCGAUGUGAUUUACAAUUAUUCACUUUGGUAAUAUGAGUAUGUGCUUUAUUAGAAUUAUUAGGGUUUAGACUAUUGUAGUAACAUUUUGCAAUAAAUUGGACCAUUAGAGUUUUGUGUGAAAUAAUAAUAAUUGUUGAAGAAUGUUGACAGAAAUGUAGUGUGUCAUACAACGAUAUGAGAUGUAUCAGGUGUGACCUGAGUGCUAUUGACACCAAACCUGAGCCAGCCAGGUCACUCCAUAUUUAUUUAUUCAAAAAGCAUGAACUUUGACCUUUGCUAGUGGUUAAGGCUACCUGGUUAUAUUCCCCUCCUAAGUGAUAUUCACUUGUUCGAACAACUUACAUAAUGAUUUUUUAUGUAUUUGAUAUUAAAUCCACAAGUUUAGGUGAGCUAUGAUUAAAAUAAAUGCCAAGUGGAAUGGUAAACGGCUUAUUGAUAGCUUAUCAAAAUUUUAAGCCAUACAAGAGGUAUACUUAUCUAGUAAUCGACUGACUAUUCUACGGUGGCUCACCAAAACAUCGAAAUCAUUGAAGGCUGUGUCGCCAAAUUUUUCACAUUCCAGUUUUCUAUAGAGGAAAUGCUCAUUUUAAUAAGUGUGAGAAUAGGUAGUUUGAGUACAAUUCUCAAACUUUUGAAUAUUAACUUUUUAAAUUUUUUAUUGUGGAUGAUGCCCACAUAAGCUUUUAGUUUGUGCGUGGGUAAUAGAAAGUUUGUGGAUGAUUUGAUGCUAUGAUCAAACGUCCAUGCCUUCCGGCGGGAUUCAAACCCACGACCAGGCAGCACUAGCAGACUGAAGGGUGCCCCAAUCAAAAUCAUUCGAUAGAUAACACAUAACAAACGUUGAAAUAAUAUGAGCAAACAUAAUAUAGGCCUAUGAGUUGUAUGACAUAUUCAUGUCAAUUGAAACCCAGCAAUUCAUCGUCUUUCUUGAAACGUUUCAAAAUGUUUACAGAAGUAAAGAGCAUGUAAUUUAUUGGAUUAGCUGAAUUCUAAUAGAUAUAUUAUUUUGGUAUGUUUUUAUAUUUGUGAUGAAUGACUGUGUAUCAAUAGCUAAUGUUAAGGUAGUAUAAAGUGUCAUAGCAUAUUGUAUUAUCCGUUCUGAUAUCAAUGGAUUUUUAUUCCAUACCUGAGCGCAGGAACGCUCAGGGUAGUUGUUUAAAAUUAAUGAUCUUUCACUUCUAGUUUAAGCUGGGAAGAAUUGGUUGGAAGUGUGUGGAGCAGGUCAUCCCACUCUUCAAAUCAAUUAGUUUCCUGUUUUUGAGCAAUAUAUCUUUCAAUUCAUGAGAUAAAAAAUUGUAUAUUGUUAAUCUUUUAUUGAAAACUUAUAUUUUUGAAUAUCAAUUAAUAUUAGUAGUAAAAUCUUCGAUUAAUAUUCUGCGGAUCAAAUAAUAUUGUCAUGUACUUAUCUUGUUUCAAAAAUUGCACUGUCUAUUUUAUUUUAAUUACGGAUUUUUCUAUCUUCUUUGUUCUUUUGAAUAAGAAAUUCUCUCAUCACAUUUAGAUCGAUGAAGUCUCUGAACUGUAUGUUUCCAGAUAUUUGUGUAGAUAUUUACAUUAAUUUAUACAAAAUCUCAAACUUAUCUCACAAUAUGAUUGUGAAUAUUAAUUUUUCUAUCAUAACGUGUCUUAUAUAGCUAGUUGUAUAUAGUUUUUUCUAUAUUAUUGGACUCAUUUAGUGAUGAUAUAAGUGUUUGAUAUUGUGAUAUUUUCCAACUGAUUCUUUUCAACAGUAUUAUAAUUUUACAGUUAAUUUAUAGUUUUAUAAAGACACAAUUUUUCAAAUCUUAGAUUAUGAAAUGUAUGUAUAGCAACAAGUAGAGGAGAACGACUCAAAAGACCAACGUUCAACGGUCAACAAAAGAUAAAUUAGAUUUGAAGCUUUGUAAGGAAUUAUAACUAAUGUUGUUUUCAAAUAAAUCAUUUUCACAAGACAUAA
Molecule: unclassified non-coding RNA, 5062 nt
Filed under: Nilaparvata lugens (brown planthopper)
Lineage: Eukaryota; Metazoa; Arthropoda; Insecta; Hemiptera; Delphacidae
Description: mPN domain-containing protein CG4751, transcript variant X2
Source: RNAcentral